Molecule: ribosomal RNA, 1350 nt
Filed under: uncultured bacterium
Lineage: Bacteria
Description: partial 16S ribosomal RNA
Rfam family: Bacterial small subunit ribosomal RNA
Source: RNAcentral
GCGACAGGCUUAACACAUGCAAGUCGAGGGGCAUCAUGAGGUAGCAAUACCUUGAUGGCGACCGGCGCACGGGUGAGUAACGCGUAUGCAACCUGGCUGAUACAGGGGGAUAGCCCAUGGAAACGUGGAUUAACACCCCAUAAUAUUAUUUGAAGGCAUCUUUUAAUAAUUAAAUCAUUCGAGGUAUCAGAUGGGCAUGCGUCCUAUUAGCUAGUUGGGGGGGUAACGGCCCACCAAGGCAAUGAUAGGUAGGGGUUCUGAGAGGAAGGUCCCCCACAUUGGAACUGAGACACGGUCCAAACUCCUACGGGAGGCAGCAGUGAGGAAUAUUGGUCAAUGGGCGCAGGCCUGAACCAGCCAAGUCGCGUGAGGGAAGACUGCCCUAUGGGUUGUAAACCUCUUUUAUAAGGGAAGAAUAAUGACUACGUGUAGUCAGAUGCCCGUACCUUAUGAAUAAGCAUCGGCUAACUCCGUGCCAGCAGCCGCGGUAAUACGGAGGAUGCGAGCGUUAUCCGGAUUUAUUGUGUUUAAAGGGUGCGUAGGCGGUAUUUUAAGUUAGUGGUAAAACGUCGGGGCUUCACCUUGAUUGGCCAUUAAAACUGGAGUACUAGAGUAACAGACGAGGUAGGCGGAAUAAGUUAAGUAGCGGUGAAAUGCUUAGAUAUAACUUAGAACACCAGUGGCGAAAGGCGGCUUACCAGACUGUUACUGACGCUGAGGCGCGAAAGCGUGGGUAGCGAACAGGAUUAGAUACCCUGGUAGUCCACUCCGUAAACGAUGAGUGCUAAGUGUUGGGGGUCGAACCUCAGUGCUGAAGUUAACGCAUUAAGCACUCCGCCUGGGGAGUACGGUCGCAAGACUGGAACUCAAAGGAAUUGACGGGGACCCGCACAAGCGGUGGAGCAUGUGGUUUAAUUCGAAGCAACGCGAAGAACCUUACCAGGUCUUGACAUACCAUUGACGCCUCUAGAGAUAGAGGGUUCCCUUCGGGGACAAUGGAUACAGGUGGUGCAUGGUUGUCGUCAGUUCGUGUCGUGAGAUGUUGGGUUAAGUCCCGCAACGAGCGCAACCCCUGUCGUUAGUUGCCAGCAGUGAGAUGGGGACUCUAACGAGACUGCCAGUGACAAACUGGAGGAAGGUGGGGAUGACGUCAAAUCAUCAUGCCCCUUAUGACCUGGGCUACACACGUGCUACAAUGGUUGGUACAAAGAGAAGCGAAGCGGUGACGUGGAGCAAACCUCAUAAAGCCAAUCUCAGUUCGGAUUGUAGGCUGCAACUCGCCUACAUGAAGUUGGAAUCGCUAGUAAUCGCGAAUCAGAAUGUCGCGGUGAAUACGUUCCCGGGUCUUGU